Molecule: long non-coding RNA, 5734 nt
Organism: Antechinus flavipes (yellow-footed antechinus)
Lineage: Eukaryota; Metazoa; Chordata; Mammalia; Dasyuromorphia; Dasyuridae
Exons: 5
Source: RefSeq, a predicted model, not a curated record
UGGUUAACCUCAGAGCCGGAUGACCCGGAUUCAGAUCCUACCUCAGACACUUACCGGACUUUGUAGUCCUGAGUAAUCCUCUUUCUGGGAUUCAGUUUCUUCAUUUGUCAAAGCAAGAGGUUGGACUUGGUGACCUCUAGUCUCCUUCAACUUAGAAUACAUGCUUUUAAGCUCUUUCUCGGAAUGGUGGGAUUCAGACGGCCCUCGAGACAGCGGGAGGAGUAGGCUCAGGGCCCUCCGGCCACGGCUUCCCCCUCAUUCCUUACCAGAGCCCUCUGUUUUGGGGCCGAGUUCUGUCUGGCCCAUGGGAGAAGCAUUUCUGCCAUUCUUGAAGAUCCCUAGUUCCCUCAUCUGUAAAAUGGGCUCUUCCGUCCAUCCCAGCUAUGAUCACUGCCCACUCUGUGACCCUAUGGGCCAGAUUAUUUUUUAAAAGGAGGACCCUGAGGCAGAGAGGAAGGCGCUCAAGGCCCAGAGGGUCACCGCAUCUGCCUGUAUGAUUUUGGCCAAGUCACGUCGGCUUCCCGGCCCUCGGUCACCUUUUCUGUCAGAGGAGGAGGGUCGGCGCAGUGGCCUCCGAAGCCCCUUUGUGCCCGGGCUGAUGUCAGCGGGCACACUUGGCAUUCUGAGGCCACGUAAUCUGUCUCCUCCGAGAGCCACCAUUUUCCAGCUUCACGGCUUUCCCGUGUCACAGCUGCCUGGAAUUGAAAAGCUUUCCAUCUCCAGGGAAAUCUAAGCUGUGGCCCAGGAGCGGGUGGGCACAGAGCCAGGGCGAAUGUCUCUGUAGCGUCGGCUUGCAAGAGGCCCCGGGGGGGAGGGCAGAGCCAGCUGGUGCCCAAGGUGGCUCCUGCCUGGGAAUGAGCAGAUAGGACUUGGGGAAAGAUGCCGUGCAAAACCAUGUACCCAUAAGUCUCCCUUUGACACAGCGCCAAGAAAUAGGGUCCUGGAAACGGGCCCGGAAGGAAAACCGAGUAAGUGGUGGAGUCAGCGGGAUUUGAACCUGGUUCUCUGAUAAGCGGUUGUGUUUUGCCACUGUACUGCCCCAUGUCUCUGACUGGAAAGUGUUCCGGCUCCUUCCUGCCAGCUGGGGGAGGCGGCUGGGUACCGUGGGCAGACUCUGGGCAGGGAGAAAGGGGAUGAGCUGGAACAGGUGACCCUGGCACUCCCAUCCACCACCUGGCAGGCCCAUGGGUCUCCUCCUCCUUCUCCUCCUCCUGGAGCUUCUCUUUUGCAGCACUUAUUUCUUUGCCAAGAAUCAGUCUUCCUGGCUGUCCAGGGUCCCCAGACUGUCGGGGCCCUGGCUCCUGGGCGGCGCAUCCCGACGGCUCCCGGACCCCCUUGGGACUCUGCCCGGCAGCCAGCGGCCCAGCAGCCUCGGAGCCCGACUCCCAGGAGUCCUCGCGGGCCGCUCUGCCCUCCCCGGACCCAGAGCCGCGUUCCAGGCUGGCGUUGGGUCAGCCUGGACGGCGGGGGAUGGAAAGCCGGCUCGGAGCCUCUCGGGGGAGGGUUGUGCUGCGGUGGGCCCAGAGCUGGCUUUGUCUUGUGCCCUGCCCAGUGGGGGGAAGGAAGGACCAGAAGCUGCACAGAGGUAUAAGUGAGCAGGCACCGGCCCUAAUUGGAACCACUUCCUCUUUCUAGAGUGCCUUGAGGAUGUUUUGUUAGGAACAUCUAUAGCUGGGGGUGGGGACGGUCAUAGCUGUUCCAAACUAGUGGUUCUCGAGCUUUGGGAAGCAUACACCCACAGAUCCGCUUUUGUUAAAAACUAAUUUUUGUGUUUUUUUGUUUUUAUAAGACCUAGAUUUCUCCCCUCCCCUUCCCCUCACUACCCUUCCCUCUACCCACAGAGCUGCCCCAUCUAACAAAGAAAAAGAAAAAAAAAUCAGCAAACUGGAAAAAAGGGGGACAAUAUGGGCAGUGUUCUGCUAGGCAGUGAGGUGAUGACGCAGUGCAUAGAACCAGGCCUGAAGUCAGGAAGACCUGAAUUCAAAUCGGAGACACGUACUAGCGGUGUGACCUUGGGUACUUAACCUCUGCCCGCCUCAGUUUCCUCAUCUGUAAAAUGGGGGUCAUAAUGGCACUUACCUCUCAGGGGUGUUGUGAGGGUCUAAUGAGUUGAAAAUUGUAAAGCAUUUAGUGUUGUCAUAUCUGGAGUAAGUUCUGUAUAAAGGUUAGUGGCUUAUUAUUGUCAUGUCUGGAACAUAGUAGGUGCCGUAUAAAUGUGAGGGACUUGUUGUCGUGCCUGGAACGUAGUAGGUGCCAUAUAAAUGAGAGUGACUUAUUGUCGUGUCUGGAACGUAGUAGGUGUCGUAUAAAUGUGAGGGACGUAUUGUCAUGCCUGGAAUGUAGUAGGUGCCGUAUAAAUGUGAGGGACUUAUUGUCGUGCCUGGAACGUAGUAGGUGCCGUAUAAAUGAGAGUGACUUGUUGUCGUGCCUGGAACGUAGUAGGUGCCGUAUAAAUGAGAGUGACUUGUUGUCGUGCCUGGAACGUAGUAGGUGCCGUAUAAAUGAGAGUGACUUCUUGUCGUGCCUGGAACGUAGUAGGUGCCGUAUAAAUGAGAGUGACUUGUUGUCGUGCCUGGAACGUAGUAGGUGCCGUAUAAAUGAGAGUGACUUGUUGUCGUGCCUGGAACGUAGUAGGUGCCGUAUAAAUGAGAGUGACUUGUUGUCGUGCCUGGAACGUAGUAGGUGCCGUAUAAAUGAGAGUGACUUGUUGUCGUGCCUGGAACGUAGUAGGUGCCGUAUAAAUGUGAGGGACUUGUUGUCGUGCCUGGAACGUAGUAGGUGCCGUAUAAAUGAGAGUGACUUCUUGUCGUGCCUGGAACGUAGUAGGUGCCGUAUAAAUGAGAGUGACUGUUACUAUGUGAGCCCCCUCUACCCUUCUGCAAUAGUGAAGAGGGGAUGUCUUUUCCUAUAGUCACACUUGCUCUUAGAAAUUUGGCAAUAUUCAUCUCUAGUUGAUUUGUUGUCCAUUUGCACUGGGGUCAUCCUUGUGUUUAUGGCCCAGCUUACUCCCUGUUUUGUUUAGCACAGUAAUAAUUUGGCCAACGGGCAUCUACUUUGCUUGAAUUCUUUGAUACCUUUAAAAAAAAAAAGCUGUUAUACAUAUUAUGAUUUAUGUGAGUUCUUUAAAAAAAAAAAUCAGUGACCUCACUGGGGCAAAUGCAUAGAAAGUGGGAUCUCUGGGCUAAAAGGCACGGGUGUUUUAGUCACUUUAAUUUCAUGAUUCCAAAUUGCUUUCCAAAGUAGUUUUAUUAAUUUGCAGCUCUACCGACAAUGCACGAGUGUGCCUCUCUUUCUACUCCUCCUCCAACAUCGACCAUUCCCAUCUUUUGCCGCCUUUGCCAGUUUUCUGAGGGCUUUGGUUUGCUUUCCUCCUCUUAUUAGUGACCUGGAGCAUUCUUUCAGGUUGGUUAUUUUUAGAUAGACUCAAACUGAGACCAGGAGAAAACCCUUUGACUUUCAGAUAGCACCGUCUGUGCUUCUGCGCCCUGGGGACAAAGUUCCACCGGCCCUCUUUAGUUACACCUCUGAGUCAGAAGCUUGUUUUCUGAGUCUGGGGAAAUUGGAGUGGCUACAGGUGCAGGUGAGGAUCCUAAGAGUUACAGGAAGUGCCUUCUUCUGGAUCCUUGUUCUAGAUGAAGGCCCCGAGGCUCCGGAGCGUGGACACCGAGGUCUGGCUCCAGCAAGGGUGGUUUUUGGGAGAGAGGGGGAGGAGACAUCCUGUUUCUCCCUAUUUUGUCUCCCUGGGAUCUGUCCCGGGACAGGAGGCCUGCUGCUGGGGAGUGGGGGAGGGAGGCGAGCCUUCGGCCUCCCACCAGGGCUGGGGGAUGAGUCUGGCCAGCGGGCCUCCUAAGCUACGCCAGCUUCUCUGACCUUCCCGGUCAUGCCAGGAGGCCAGGGCAGCGUGCCAGGGCUGGAGGAGAGAAGGUGACUCACCUGGAGCCCUUCCUUUCCUUGCCUAAUCAUGGAGGGAGGGACUGGCGGCAGAAAAGAAAGGGUCUGAUCUUGUCAGAAUACCUCCCAUGGCCCUCUUCUCCUCUGCCGGCCCCUCUCCCCUUCCCCCCACUCUAGAACUUCUGGAGCUCUCCAGCUGCUUUCUUAGAUCUGGAGCUCCUGCUCUUAGAUCUCGGCUCGGAGCUGCCUCAGAAUCAUCCUGUCCAAGCCCCUCAUUUUACAGGGUCCCGGAAAAGUGAGCAGGCUUGAGCAUACGGGAAAUGAGUUGGGAGAGUUUUCCCUUUGGUUCUGGAAAAGAAGGCAGGUCAGGGUGGGGCUCAGGUAGAAUUCCCUAAGCUUUGCCUUUCAGUGUCCUUGUUCUCCCAUUCUUUUUGCCUCUAGGCCCUACAGGCCAGAGAUAAGCCUUUGCUUAUUUCUGGGAAGGAAUGGGAGUGGUUCCAAGGCUUCCUACCCUAAUGGCCUUUUCCACUCAGGAGGUGGAAGGCCCAGGUGCCCAUGUAACCAGGUGCCCAAUUACUCAUAUCCGGGUGCCCAUGUUUCCAGGUGCCCAUGUACCCAUGUAACCAGGUGCCCAUGUACCCAUGCAUCCAGUUGCCAGUUACCCAGGUGCUAAGUGCCUGGAAUGCAGGUACCCAGGCAGUGAGAUGGGGGCCACAGGAGCUGGGGGCACAGUGCAUUUCCAGCAGGAUUUCCGGAUGGGGGAGGGUCUCCAGCCCCCCAUCCCAAGGCAGAAAGUUCGGAUGCUUGGUACUUGAGGGGAUGCCGGCAGAUUCCUCCGGCUCCUCUGUCCGGCGGAUUGGGUGCUGUCGUCUCAGCGCUUUGGAAUGCUUCUGUUCCUAAUUUAACUCCAAACGAACCUCUGAUUUUUUUUUUUAAACAGGAAAUUUUCGCCAUUUCUUGUGCCAAAGCUCCAGGCACCUCUGGCAUUGGAGAGAGCCAGUGUGCAAGCCUGGAAUCAGGGGCUCAGGGCCCCCACUUGUGAUGGAAGGUGGGUGGAAGAUCAAAGGCUCCUAGACUCUAGAGGUCAUGGAGUCCAGUCCCUUUUCCCUGUAAUUUAGAUGAGGGCUGGAAAGUUAGAUGACUUGUCCAGGGUCACAGAGCUGGUAAAUGGAUGAGGCAGAUUUUAGGGCUUGCCCAUGGGGAGUAUCCCUGAGCAUUUCUCCCUCAGGAGGGAGGGUGCAGGGCUGUCUGAUGAGCAUCUCUGUCCCCCUCUCCCUGGGGUCCCCAUUCGACUCUUUCAGAGCCGUGGCUCCACCAGGCUGUGGGUAAUGGGCACAGUGCCCGGGCAGCACCGAGCCUUCUGGGUGGGGGUGAGCCCCAGGGUGAGAGCUGGGUCUCCCCACAGCCUGGGGAUCUGCUGUGACCUCUGCCCCUGCUCCGGGUAGUGUACCCACUGUGCUUUGCUCCCAAUGUCCCCUGGGCAGCCCUGCCCUCUGCUCCCUCCUAAUCUUUAUUUACAUUGAAAUGGUUCUGGAAAAUACCAGAUAUGCAAAGGCCUGGGCUUGGGGAGGGGGGUGGGGGGUGGGAAGGCAAGUAUUUUAAAAAUGCUGCAAAUCGCUGCAGCGUUUCCCAGAAACCACAAGCACGCGCUCCGCCUGCCAACAGGACUGGGGCUGCCCCUGCACCGAGGCGCUGCCUCCCCCAACCCACCUUAGGAUGGCUAACGGAGGGAAGGGGGCAGCCAGGGAAGGAGAGGCCUGGGAGAGCUGGGUGGGGAGGGGGAGGGGAAGACAGAGACAGAGAGGAGACAGCCCAGCACAGAGAGAUGGAGAGAGAGAGAGAG